CGCUUCAAAAUCACCAGAGAAGAAAAUGACGAAAUCGAAGAACCACACCACCCAUAACCAAUCCUACAAGGCCCACAAGAACGGCAUCAAGAAGCCCAAACGCCACCGUCACACCUCAACCAAAGGGAUGGAGCCGAAGUUUUUGAGGAAUCAGAGGUAUGCGAGGAAGCACAACAAGAAGAGUGGUGAAUCUGCUGAGGAAGAGUAGACUAAAAAUCACAAAUGUGCCCAUAAUCCAUUUUCUGAUAGUGCAGAUGUUUACUAUAGAACC
RNAcentral lists this long non-coding RNA (271 nucleotides) under Olea europaea subsp. europaea. Lineage: Eukaryota; Viridiplantae; Streptophyta; Magnoliopsida; Lamiales; Oleaceae. The record is from RNAcentral.